UGGGGAAUAUUGCACAAUGGGCGCAAGCCUGAUGCAGCCAUGCCGCGUGUGUGAAGAAGGCCUUCGGUUGUAAGCACUUUCNGUCGAGGAGGAAGGUGGUGAACUUAAUACGUUCAUCAAUUGACGUUACUCGCAGAAGAAGCACCGGCUAACUCCGUGCCAGCAGCCGCGGUAAUACGGAGGGUGCAAGCNUUAAUCGGAAUUUACUGGGCGUAAAAGCGCACGCAGGCGGUUUGUUAAGUCAGAUGUGAAAAUCCCCGGGCUCAACCUGGGAACUGCAUUUGAAAACUGGCAAGCUAGAGUCUCGUAGAGGGGGGUAGAAUUCCAGGUGUAGCGGUGAAAUGCGUAGAGAUCUGGAGGAAUACCGUGGCGAAGGCAGCCCCCUGGACGAAGACUGACGCUCAGGUGCGAAAGCGU
This 417-nucleotide ribosomal RNA is filed under the name uncultured bacterium. Its description in RNAcentral is "partial 16S ribosomal RNA". It matches the Rfam family "Bacterial small subunit ribosomal RNA", at positions 355 to 762 of the family's 1533-position model. The record is from RNAcentral.